This is a long non-coding RNA of Seriola aureovittata, 2369 nucleotides long. RefSeq lists it as uncharacterized. The record is from RefSeq and is a predicted model, not a curated record. The transcript has 7 exons. NCBI's taxonomy places the organism in Eukaryota, Metazoa, Chordata, Actinopteri, Carangiformes, Carangidae.
CCUGCUUCAUAAAUUGAGAAGAUUGUCAUUAGUGACCACUUAAAGUUCAUAUGAUUGGCUGACAUUUCAACAUACAACCUGCACAACUGCUGUUUCGGGCAGCACAAACACCCCUCUGUUCUCUACUCCGCUUAGUACGAUCCAGGAUCCCCCUUCUAUAAAUCACAUUGGAUUCAUCCACUUCUUGUUUGACAGUCUGACCUUUCACCUCGGCUUGGCGGCAGCACGGACGGGACCACAUGCUACAAACAUUCCGAUGGUCUAAAGAAGACAACACGACAGAGCAGUGAACACACCAGCGAUCAAGCCGGAGAAGCUGGUCUCUGUGACCACUAUCACUAUCUAUUGACAGAGGUCAGCGCCGUCGUGACCAAUCCGAGCGCUCCGUUACGGCUGCACGGACGGAAAGCCGCCGCCUUUGGUUCGGAUCAGGCUGACUUUGAUAGUCUGCUCCCCGCUCUGGAGGUCUGGGCGCAGCAGCUCCAGCUGCUGGAGAUGUCCCGCCACCAGGAGACCAGGACCAGGACCGGCACGCCGCUCCAACUCCGGCUCUUCACUCCUUGCGGGUUUCUUUUAUCUUCACAUGUUUUAUUCUUACACAAAAUGCUCACUUUUCAAUCCUGUGGCUUUCACUCUUACAACAGAGAGAUUUCAUUUAUCCAGAAAAUUCAAUCAAAUACAUGCAUUUUCAUCUCAAUUUAGUCUUCCCUCAACAUAGGUACAAGCCACCACCUGUAAUUUCACAUCAUAGACAUCAGUUGUUCUUGUCAAUAAAACUCACACUUCCCCAAAUCUAGGAGAACUGUUGUAAUACAAAUUUCACUUGGCUUUUCUAUGAUUCAAUGAAAAAAUGACAUAGUAUAAUAAGACAUAAAAACAUUCAAAUAGUUAUAGUAUAGUAAGAUAUGGAGACGUCAUAGUAUAGUAAGGCCUUAAAAGCGAAAAGAUGACAUUCUAUGGUAUUGCAAAAAAAUGUGAAAAAACAACAUAGUAUAGUGAGGAAUAAAAACAUCCAAAAAGGUCAUAGUAUAUUAAGGUAUAAAGACGUCAUCGUAAAGUAAGGCCAGAAAAGUCGUAAGGUGUGUGUGUGUGUGUGUGUGUGUGUGUGUGUGUGUGUGUGUGUGUUUUUCAGGGCCGUCUAUCAGGACGCAGACAUCUACCUCCUGGACGAUCCUUUAAGCGCAGUGGACGCUGAGGUCGGGAAACAUCUUUUUGAGCAGUGCAUCUGCGGCCUGCCGAAGAACAAGUGUCCCGUCCCGGUCGCCCACCAGCUGCAGCACCUCAGGGCCGCCGACCAGAUCCUGGUCCUGAAGCAGGACCGCUUUCUCAACGAGGGCCAGUACAAUGCGGGAUUAUAAAGCACGGAUCAGCACCGACUGUCCGAAACCCAACUUCAAAUUUGGGAACUGCCAGCACAUCAGCUUCCUGCAACAAUACCUGGCUGCCAUGUCUUACAAUGAAAAUGCUGACCGACCGAAAGCCCAAACAAAAGAAGGUGAACCACUGUUCAAGGUCCAUUUUCCAAAGGCCAUGAAGGGGGAAUGCAGAGCUACACCAGUUAAGACUAUAAGUGUUAUAUUAUUUUAUUUUUCAACCAAAAAAUGUUUUGUACACAUUGUAAGUAUUAAGUAUGUAAGCAUAAUGUUAUGACAGUUCCACCGACAACAAAAUACAGUAAAGAAAAUGUCAGGAGAUAGUUAGAAAUAGACUUUCAAUCAAUCAAGUUUUGGUGCAAAAACAACACUGCUCAUCACCAAAAGAACACCAUACCUACAGUGAAGGGUGGUGGUGGUGGUGGCAGCGUCACGCUUUGGGGCUGUUUUUCUUCAGCUGGAACUGGGGCCUUAGUCAGGGUGGAGGGAAUUAUGAACAGUUCCAAAUACCAGUCAGUGUUGGCGCAAAACCUUCGGCCUUCUGUUAGAAAGCUGAAGAUGAAGAGGAACUUCAUCUUUCGGCAUGAUCUAAAUCAACCAAAGAAUGGCUUCACCGGAAUAAGAUUGAGGCUUUGGAACCGGCCGGAGUCCAGACCCGGAUCCCAUCGAACAUCUGUGGGGUGAUCUGAAGAGGGCUGUGCACAGGAGAUGCCCUUGUGAUCUGUCAGAUUUGGAGCGGUUUUGCAAAGAAGAGUGGGCAAAUAUUGCCACAUUAAGAUGUGCCACGCUGAUAGGUUCCUACCCAAAAAUAGUGAGUGCUGUAAUAAAAGCCAAAGGUGCUGCAACAAAGUAUUAGUUUAAGGGUGUGCAUAUUUAUGCAACCACGUUCUUUUAAGUUUUUUAUUUUAUAUUUUUCCCCUUUAAAGGUUUCAGUUUGUUUUUCAAUUGCAUUGUACAGGUUAUAGGUCACAUUAAAGGUGGAAAAAGUUGUGAAAU